CCCAACCUCCUCUAUUAGCAACACUAGCAUGGGUGAAAGCUAAAUUGACCGUAUCUUCAGCAUCUUCGGCCUCUUCUGAGCCAUCUCAGAGUGAUACUCUAACUGAAAUCGUCCAAGCCCGCCACAUAUUACUCAAGCUUGCCCAUUUGUCUUUGGACAAUCUUAUAUCUUUCUCUAUGCUUUCUGAUGCCCAAGGAGCCUUAGAGAUUCUAUUGAAGAAUAGCUCAUCUUCAUCAUCCUUGGACUUACCCAAACUGCAGGAAAGCCUAUCCU
RNAcentral lists this long non-coding RNA (273 nucleotides) under Elaeis guineensis (African oil palm). RNAcentral describes it as "long non-coding RNA (EGUI_LNC028040)". Lineage: Eukaryota; Viridiplantae; Streptophyta; Magnoliopsida; Arecales; Arecaceae. The record is from RNAcentral.